UACGGGGGGAGCAAGCGUUGUUCGGAUUUACUGGGCGUAAAGGGCGCGUAGGCGGCCACCGCAAGUCGGUUGUGAAAUCUCCGGGCUUAACCCGGAAAGGUCAAUCGAUACUGCGGGGCUAGAGUGCAGAAGGGGCAACUGGAAUUCUCGGUGUAGCGGUGAAAUGCGCAGAUAUCAGGAGGAACACCGGUGGCGAAGGCGGUUCUCUGGGCAUUACCUGACGCUGAGGAGCGAAAGUGUGGGGAGCGAACAGG
RNAcentral lists this ribosomal RNA (254 nucleotides) under uncultured bacterium. Its description in RNAcentral is "partial 16S ribosomal RNA". It matches the Rfam family "Bacterial small subunit ribosomal RNA", at positions 524 to 776 of the family's 1533-position model. The record is from RNAcentral.